This 465-nucleotide ribosomal RNA is filed under the name uncultured bacterium. RNAcentral's name for it is "partial 16S ribosomal RNA". It matches the Rfam family "Bacterial small subunit ribosomal RNA", at positions 338 to 795 of the family's 1533-position model. The record is from RNAcentral.
CCUACGGGAGGCAGCAGUGGGGAAUAUUGCGCAAUGGGCGAAAGCCUGACGCAGCGACGCCGCGUGAGGGAUGAAGGUCUUCGGAUCGUAAACCUCUGUCAGCAGGGAAGAACGGACACUGUGCUAAUCAGCAGUGAAUUGACGGUACCUGCAAGGGACGCACCGGCUAACUCCGUGCCAGCAGCCGCGGUAAUCCGGAGGGUGCGUGCGUUAAUCGGAUUUACUGGGCUUAAAGCGCUCGUAGGCGGUAUGACAAGUCAAGGGUGAAAUCCCCGCGCUCAACGUGGGAACUGCCUUUGAAACUGGCAAACUAGAGUGUGUGAGAGGAUAGUGGAAUUCCAGGUGUAGGAGUGAAAUCCGUAGAUAUCUGGAGGAACAUCAGUGGCGAAGGCGACUAUCUGGCACAUAACUGACGCUGAGGAGCGAAAGCGUGGGUAGCAAACAGGAUUAGAUACCCUUGUAGUC